AACGAACGCUGGCGGCAGGCCUAACACAUGCAAGUCGAACGCCGUAGCAAUACGGAGUGGCAGACGGGUGAGUAACACGUGGGAACGUACCCUUCGGUUCGGAAUAACUCAGGGAAACUUGAGCUAAUACCGGAUACGUCCGAGAGGAGAAAGAUUUAUCGCCGAGGGAUCGGCCCGCGUCUGAUUAGCUUGUUGGUGAGGUAACGGCUCACCAAGGCGACGAUCAGUAGCUGGCUGAGAGGAUGAUCAGCCACAUUGGGACUGAGACACGGCCCAAACUCCUACGGGAGGCAGCAGUGGGGAAUAUUGGACAAUGGGCGCAAGCCUGAUCCAGCCAUGCCGCGUGAGUGAUGAAGGCCCUAGGGUUGUAAAGCUCUUUUACCCGGGAAGAUAAUGACUGUACCGGGAGAAUAAGCCCCGGCUAACUUCGUGCCAGCAGCCGCAGU
This 446-nucleotide ribosomal RNA is filed under the name uncultured bacterium. Its description in RNAcentral is "bacterial SSU rRNA". It matches the Rfam family "Bacterial small subunit ribosomal RNA", at positions 29 to 521 of the family's 1533-position model. The record is from RNAcentral.